This 254-nucleotide ribosomal RNA is filed under the name uncultured bacterium. RNAcentral's name for it is "partial 16S ribosomal RNA". It matches the Rfam family "Bacterial small subunit ribosomal RNA", at positions 524 to 776 of the family's 1533-position model. The record is from RNAcentral.
UACGGGGGGAGCAAGCGUUGUUCGGAUUUACUGGGCGUAAAGGGCGCGUAGGCGGCCACCGCAAGUCAAUUGUGAAAUCUCCGGGCUUAACUCGGAAAGGUCAACUGAUACUGCGGGGCUAGAGUGCGGAAGGGGCAACUGGAAUUCUCGGUGUAGCGGUGAAAUGCGUAGAUAUCGAGAGGAACACCUGCGGCGAAGGCGGGUUGCUGGGCCGACACUGACGCUGAGGCGCGAAGGUCAGGGGAGCAAACGGG